AUUUCCUGGCAAUGGACAAAGACACAGCUUGUUGGUGUUGUUGUUCUUGUAUUAGACAGGGGAAGAACAGAUGGCAGUCCUUUGUUCAUCCUAUCUUAAUACCUGGCUUGGUAGCCAAAGCUGUCUCAUGCCUUGGGCUCAUAA
Small nucleolar RNA from Arvicanthis niloticus (Nile rat), 144 nucleotides. RefSeq annotates it as small nucleolar RNA SNORA48. Lineage: Eukaryota; Metazoa; Chordata; Mammalia; Rodentia; Muridae. The record is from RefSeq and is a predicted model, not a curated record.